Molecule: ribosomal RNA, 444 nt
Filed under: uncultured soil bacterium
Lineage: Bacteria
Description: bacterial SSU rRNA
Rfam family: Bacterial small subunit ribosomal RNA
Source: RNAcentral
AGAGCGAACGCUGGCGGCAGGCCUAACACAUGCAAGUCGAACGGACUCUUCGGAGUUAGUGGCGGACGGGUGAGUAACACGUGGGAACGUGCCUUUAGGUUCGGAAUAGCUCCUGGAAACGGGUGGUAAUACCGAAUGUGCCCUUCGGGGGAAAGAUUUAUCGCCUUUAGAGCGGCCCGCGUCUGAUUAGCUUGUUGGUGAGGUAAUGGCUCACCAAGGCUACGAUCAGUAGCUGGUCUGAGAGGAUGACCAGCCACAUUGGGACUGAGACACGGCCCAAACUCCUACGGAGGCAGCAGUGGGGAAUCUUGCGCAAUGGGCGAAAGCCUGACGCAGUCAUGCGCGUGUAUGAUGAAGGUCUUAGGAUUGUAAAAUACUUUCAACCGGUGAAGAUAAUGACUGUAGCCGGAGAAGAAGCCCCGCUAACUUCGUGCCAGCAGCCGC